GACGAACGCUGGCGGCGUGCCUAAUACAUGCAAGUAGAACGCUGAAGGAGGAGCUUGCUUCUCUGGAUGAGUUGCGAACGGGUGAGUAACGCGUAGGUAACCUGCCUGGUAGCGGGGGAUAACUAUUGGAAACGAUAGCUAAUACCGCAUAAGAGUAGAUGUUGCAUGACAUUUGCUUAAAAGGUGCAAUUGCAUCACUACCAGAUGGACCUGCGUUGUAUUAGCUAGUUGGUGAGGUAACGGCUCACCAAGGCGACGAUACAUAGCCGACCUGAGAGGGUGAUCGGCCACACUGGGACUGAGACACGGCCCAGACUCCUACGGGAGGCAGCAGUAGGGAAUCUUCGGCAAUGGACGGAAGUCUGACCGAGCAACGCCGCGUGAGUGAAGAAGGUUUUCGGAUCGUAAAGCUCUGUUGUAAGAGAAGAACGAGUGUGAGAGUGGAAAGUUCACACUGUGACGGUAUCUUACCAGAAAGGGGCGGCUAACUACGUG
This 495-nucleotide ribosomal RNA is filed under the name uncultured bacterium. Its description in RNAcentral is "partial 16S ribosomal RNA". It matches the Rfam family "Bacterial small subunit ribosomal RNA", at positions 28 to 507 of the family's 1533-position model. The record is from RNAcentral.